This 553-nucleotide small RNA is filed under the name Histoplasma capsulatum var. duboisii H88. RNAcentral's name for it is "Histoplasma capsulatum H88 hypothetical RNA". The record is from RNAcentral. Lineage: Eukaryota; Fungi; Ascomycota; Eurotiomycetes; Onygenales; Ajellomycetaceae.
ACCCGCAGCAGACAGCUGGGACCUCGCUGACAGACACGGUAGCCGGCUGGGUUCCUUUAGCACAUCGUACGUACGUCUGUAUGUCUGUAUGUCUGUAUAGAUGUCUGUGUGUAUGUCUAAUUGUGAACCUCCAGAUGUUUACAACGUGGGGGAGAGAAGAAGGGUUUGUGAGAAUCGCGGGAUUUCGUCCCGUCAGGGCUUAGCAGCCGGGCAGGGUCAGAGCAGUUCUCGCAGAGGGCAAGCUAACUUGGCUAAGGGGAGCCAUCGCAUCGACUAGCCCAGAGCUAGCGACGGUGGAGAUGCUCUAAAUGGUGUCGAGCGGCGUUCAAGCGGACAGAAGAUGGUCAGGCACCUCGAGACACAGCGCCGACUCGGUCACGGGCAGCAGCGUCGCGUGGCCACCUCUCCAAUAGCUGGUUGCUCCAUGCUGUUUAUUGAAUGAAUAUUGAAUAGAUAUUGGAGUCCAGGGCAGGCAGAGAGCGAAACUGCUGUGGGGAGUUGGAACUCUACAAAGGCAGCCCCCACACAGCUGAGAUGAAGAAGUUACAGAGAG